AAAAGUGUAUCCUACUGCAGCAGCUGUAAUAUAAAAGGUUGGCUGGCACUGUAAUAUUUGAAAGCUAUUUUUUAAAUAAACCUUAAACCCUUUUAAUUUCAAUAUAUAUGGAAAAUAUUUAUAAGCUAGUGAUCAUAUUCUUGUAGACUCUGCUUUUGUUAGUUACUAAAAUCGAUAGAGAAAAACACAUGAAGAAUUUUAAAUACUGAUUUGUUUUUUUAAUUAUGCAUUGUUUUAUUUGCAAUUGGACUACCUAUAUAUAUAUAUAUAUAUA
Biomphalaria pfeifferi is the source of this 274-nucleotide non-coding RNA. The record is from the annotation of a GenBank genome assembly. NCBI's taxonomy places the organism in Eukaryota, Metazoa, Mollusca, Gastropoda, Planorbidae.